GAACUCAUCUUCGGGGGUAGAGCACUGUUUCGGCUAGGGGGUCAUCCCGACUUACCAACCCGAUGCAAACUACGAAUACCGAAGAAUGUUAUCACGGGAGACACACGGCGGGUGCUAACGUCCGUCGUGAAGAGGGAAACAACCCAGACCGCCAGCUAAGGUCCCAAAGUCAUGGUUAAGUGGGAAACGAUGUGGGAAGGCCCAGACAGCCAGGAUGUUGGCUUAGAAGCAGCCAUCAUUUAAAGAAAGCGUAAUAGCUCACUGGUCGAGUCGGCCUGCGCGGAAGAUGUAACGGGGCUAAACCAUGCACCGAAGCUGCGGCAGCGACACUAUGUGUUGUUGGGUAGGGGAGCGUUCUGUAAGCCUG
RNAcentral lists this ribosomal RNA (367 nucleotides) under Klebsiella quasivariicola. RNAcentral's name for it is "partial 23S ribosomal RNA". It matches the Rfam family "Bacterial large subunit ribosomal RNA", at positions 886 to 1251 of the family's 2925-position model. The record is from RNAcentral. Lineage: Bacteria; Pseudomonadati; Pseudomonadota; Gammaproteobacteria; Enterobacterales; Enterobacteriaceae.